UAACCCUAGAAAGAUAACGUGCGCCUCAGAGGCGCCCGCGAAAUAUAUAUUUCGCUGCCAUUUUGUUACCGACGCGCAUACAAGUUUGUGUUUCCUCGCCAAUUCAGUCCUUGGUCAUCACUUCCGAGAGACGGCUGCAUCUGUUCGGAGCGUUUUCGCAUCAUGGCGAGCAGAAGAGUGUUGGUAAAAAAGAGAAAUUGUUUAUUUAUUGAAUGAAGAAGAUGAAGGCGCAGAUGUCGGCAGUGACAGUGAGAUCGAGGACCAUGUAAG
Molecule: long non-coding RNA, 270 nt
Organism: Pieris napi
Lineage: Eukaryota; Metazoa; Arthropoda; Insecta; Lepidoptera; Pieridae
Exons: 2
Source: RefSeq, a predicted model, not a curated record